RNAcentral lists this ribosomal RNA (253 nucleotides) under uncultured bacterium. Its description in RNAcentral is "partial 16S ribosomal RNA". It matches the Rfam family "Bacterial small subunit ribosomal RNA", at positions 793 to 1055 of the family's 1533-position model. The record is from RNAcentral.
GUCCACGCCGUAAACGAUGGAUACUAGCUGUUGGGCGCAAGUUCAGUGGCUAAGCGAAAGUGAUAAGUAUCCCACCUGGGGAGUACGGGCGCAAGCCUGAAACUCAAAGGAAUUGACGGGGCCCGCACAAGCGGUGGAGCAUGUGGUUUAAUUCGAUGAUACGCGAGGAACCUUACCAAGGCUUAAAUGUAGAUUGACAGGACUGGAAACAGUUUUUCUUCGGACAAUUUACAAGGUGCUGCAUGGUUGUCGU